CCCGCGCCCCCCCGACCCUGUGCGUGUGCCUGCGCCCCCCGACCCGUGAGGAAGUCUGUGCCCCCGACCCAUCCGUGUGCCUGCGCCCCCCGACCCGUGUGGAUGGUUGCAGACCCCAUCCCGUGAGGUUGUCUGUGCCCCCCGACCCGUGUGUGUGCCUGCACCGCCCAACCCCAUGAGUGUGCCUGCGCCCCCCUAUCCGUGAGGAUGUUUGCGCUCCCGAACCGUGAGCAUGGCUACGGACCCAGACCCCGUGAGGAUGCCAGCACCUCCCGACCCCGUCAUGGUGGCUGCACCCCCCCGAUCCGUGAGGAAGUCUGUGCCCCCAGGUCUCUUGCGUGUGCCUGCGUUCCCAGAUCCGCGCGGAUGUCUGCGCCCCCAACCAGUGAGGGUGCCUGCGCCCCCUGACUCCGUGCAUGUGCCGGAGCCCCCAGACCCUGUGAGGAUUUCUGUGCCUCCCGGACCGUGAGGGGGCCUGCGCCCCCCGACCUGUGAGGAAGUCUGCGCCCCCCAACCCCAUGAGUGUGCCUGAGCCCCCCGACCAGUGAGGAUGUCCAGGCCACCGAGCCGUGAGCAUGGUUGCGGACCCCGACCCCGUGCGGGGGGCUGCAGUAGACAUCAACCCGUGAGGGUGCCAGCGCCUCCCAACCCCGUGAGGGUGCCAGCGCCUCCCAACCCCAUGAGGGUGGCUGCACCCCCGACCUCUUGAGGUUGCCUGGGCCCCUCGACCCGUGAGAGUGCCAGCGCCCACCGACCAGAGAAGAUGCCAGCACCCCGACCCUGUGAGUGUGCCUGGGCCCCCAACACUGUGAGAAUGUCCGUGCCCCCCGACCUGUGAGGGUGCCCGUGCCCCCUGACCCGUGAAGUUGCCAGCGGCCUCCAAUCCGUGAGUGUGCCAGCACCCCCGAUUCUGUGUGGGUGCCAACGCCCUCCAUCCCGUGAGGAUUUCUGAGCCCACCCAAUGUGGGGAGGAUGUCUAUGUGCCCCCCCACACAGUGGCAGUCACAGCUACCCCCAGCCCUCCCCCACUCCAACCACAGCCCACAGGUGGGCCUUCCUCAGUCUUCCUGGGCAGACAAAACUCCGGGAGGCUCCCGAGCUGUCUUUCAGAAUCCCUCUCAGUGGUCCCUGAGGAGCGUCAGCCAAGGCAGCCUCGGGACUCAGUGCAGCUGCCCAGGGCCUCCGUGGCUGAGCCUGGGGGUUCUCUGGACAGGAUCCGAACCACUGGCAGAUGUGGGUGCCUGUUGCUGUUGAUUUCUCAACAAUGUUGCAGUGGAUUCAUUUCUGAGAGGAACAGCGUGGUGGGGGCAAGAGGCGCGGAGUCACUACACAGACCCCGGGAGUCCAGUGAAAGCAGGCUUGAGGUGAGCAGCCGGCAGACUUGUUUAUUUCAGUUGAAACUACCUCUUAUAUAGCCAAGACAAGCCAAUAUGGUCAAGGGGCAGUCUAUGCCCCAUCCAAUCACAGCCUGCCAGGCAGUUUCCAAAGCCAUCCAAUCACAGCCUGCCAGCAGCUUCCAAAGCCAUCCAGUCACAGCCUGUUGCCAGGCAGUUUCCAAAGCCAUUCAAUCACAGCCUGUUGCCAGGUGGGUUUCAAAGCCAUUCCUGAGUAACUGAUGCUCCCUUGCCAGUGGCCACCUUGGCAUGGCCCUCUCAUUCCACCACACCAAGCCAUAACAAAGAGCUGGAUCAAAAGUGGAGCAGCUGGGACUCAAACCGGUGCCCAUAUGGAAUGCUGGCACUGCAGACAGUGGCUUUACCUGCUACACUACUGUGCCAGCCCCAGAACAAGCAUGUAUAACACAGCAAGUUAGAAUAUUGGAUUUUGAAUAUGAAUUCACAUUAGGAUAUGCUUUAUAUUGUAGGAGUUUAUGGAUAGAGGUUAUGGGCAAACACAAGACUUGUGUAGGUAAGUUUUACAUAGAUACUUAGGCAUGAAGAUAAAUUUUUCAUUACCUACACAAUCAUAUUAUUGAAAAAUAAAAAUAGAGAUAAAGGAUGGAAAAAGAAAGCAGAGGAGUCAUAUGUGAUUUUUUUUCAGGGCCCAUAUAAAUAGUGACACUUUGGCAAGGGAUUUUUCAUGAGAUUGUUUUAAGGAAGAAAUUUUUCUGAAAAGGAAACUCAAAUGUAGCACACACUUAUUUUCUAUGAUAUUUCUGCUUAAGCAAAGUGCUUAUGCAUGUAUUACUUUCUUGUAAAUUCAAAAUUACCGGACAGUUCAUCGGGAAAAACAACAGGAGAAAGUCAAAAAAUUGAUUUAGAGUUCACUUUUCUUUUACAAUGUAGACUGACAAAAUAUUUUUAAAAUAAAUGUAACCCUUGAUAUUGUAGAAAUAUUGCCAUAUUGCAAAUGUGUGAAAUAUGGGAAAUACUUAUAAAUAGUAAAAACACAAAAAGACACACACACACACAUAAACUGUACACAUACUAGGGUCUAUUCUUAUCUUUAGGGGGAAAGGACUCAAAGAUAAAUGUCUCCCCAGUUUUUUAACUCAGAACUACUCUCAGUGGUUCACACAUUUUACUGAUGAGUAAACUUGCUUCAAGUUUUCCAUGAAUAGAAAUUGAGAAAUUUGUCAAUUGUACUCUAUGGAGCAUGUAAGUGACCAUACCAUAAACUCUCAAAUGCAAUGGUGUGUUGGAGUUCUUUCCUGGAUAUUGUUCCUGACCUUGUGGGCAGUGAGAGCCACAGGAGAGUCAAAGGUACUUCAACUGACAGAUCUGUUACUUGGAGGCUCCACAAGGAAUCAAUGACAUCUUUGUGCAACUUGAGGGCUUGGCUGCUCCUCUUCUGAUUCAGCUCUCUGCUAUGGCCUGGGAUAGCAGUAGAAGAUGGCCCAAGUCCUUGGGCCCCUGCACCAUGUGGGAGACCUGGAAGAAGCUCCUGGCUCCUGGCUUCGGAUUGGUACAGCUCCAGCUGUUGUGGCCAAUUGGGGAGUGAACCAUCAGAUGGAAGAUCUGUCUCUUUCUCUCUCUCUCUCUCUCUCUCUCUCUCUCUCUCUCUCUGCCUCUCCUCUCUCUGUAAUUGAGACUUUCAAAUAAAUAAAUAAAUCUUUUUAAAAAACUGUCAAAUAACCCAGCUUACAGGUCUUAAGAGUACCUGAAGAUGUAGAAAGAGAGAAUGGAAUAGAAGGCCUAUUUUUGUGAAAUAAUCACAGAAAACUCCCCCAAUUUGGAGAAAGAAAAGGAUGCCAAGUACAGGAAGCACAUAGAACACAUAAGAAACAUGACCUGAAAGGAUCUUCACCAUGACACAUUGUAGUCAAACUUUCCACAGUAAGGCAUAAAGAAACAUGUUCGUAUGUGUUUUCUGCUGUAAUCAAUUUCUAAAGUGUAUACACUGACAAGAAGAACUACACAGAGUACGGUCAUCGAACAAGGUAUAUCUCCUGAGAGGGGCUCCAGGCGGCUCAGCCAGUGCUACUGUUUGUGUUUCCCACACCGCAGGAGCCCUCAGGAGGAUGCUAGGACUCCGGUAUGCAGUGGGCUGGCCGUCAGGACCACGGGGUGGUGUGCAGUCCCCGCCUGCAGCUUCUUUGAACCCUGGGGCAUCAGCUUUCCAAUCUCUGUGUGGUGAGGAAGAACUUGAACUUACUGUAUGACCCGAUUUCCUUGAGUGAGGCAGCAGAUCUCAAGCAGGCCUCUCGGCGUAGGGGUCUGGGUCAGUUUUCUUGUUGCUAAUCGUGCAGCAGCACAGGCUCGGUGUGUGAGAAGGAAGCAGUAUUAUUGACCUCAUGGUUUUGGUGCAGGGUCUAGGGGCAGCAUCCGGUGAUGAUCUUCUUGCUGGUAGAGUCCUGGGGUGGCACAGAGACCAGCGGACAGACAGAAGGGGUGCAGAGGGGGCCAAUCCAAAGUGGUCUAUGUUGCGGUCCCCUAGGGAUAAGGCGUUAAUCCAUGAACACAUGAAUGGAUUUAUCCUGAUCACUUCCUGCAGGGCCUCACCUGUUCUCACUGCUGAAUUUCUCAUCACUGGAUUAACUGCGCCCAUGAGUUUCAGAGGGGAUAAACCAUGUUUAAUAGAGAGCAUGCAGGCUUGCAGGAGGUCCCUAAAUUUCCAGGUCUCCUCCCACCACCUAGUUUUGAGAUUUAGUGCUUCUGCCCCUCAUGUGGAAGAAGGCACCCUUUCUUAGGGCUUUCAAGGAAAGAAGGAAAGGACUUCAAGCUUUUCUUCCUACUAGGAUCACCUAUUAUUUUCAUUGCUUGCAACCUCAUCUGAUUUUCUGAAUCACGAACAUGAUUAUUGCCUGAGUAUUACCAAGAAAAUCUUACAAGUUGUCAUGUGACAUGCUAGAAAGGACCCGUGUGUGUUGAAUGUCCUUAUGUACUUCUGUUGCCAUGUCAGGGAUUUUGUGCCUCAAAAAAUGUUCCCAAGGUCGUAUGUUUAUAUUUGUUUUUGACAGGCAGAGUUAGACCUCGAGAGACAGAGAGAAAGGUCUUCCAUCCAUUGGUUCACCCCCCAAAUGGCUGCUAUGGCUGGCAUGCUGCGCUGAUCCAAAGCCAGGAGCCAGGUGCUUCCUCCUGGUCUCCCAUGCGGGUGCAGGGCCCAAGCACUUGGGCCAUCCUCCUGCCUUCCUGGGCAGCAGCAGAGAGCUGGACUGGAAGAGGAGCAACUGGGAAUAGAACUUGGGGCCCCAACCGGGACUAGAACCCAGGGUACUGGCACUGCAGGCAGAGGAUCAGCCAAGUAAGUCAUGGCGCCAGCCUAUGUACUUUUUUUAAGCAGUUCAUAGUGAACAACAUUUUCAUUAUUUUCAGUUCAGGAGAGCCAAAGUGUUAUCUUGUAGUUUUUUUUUUUUUUUUUAAGAAUAAGCUAAGAAAAAUCCUGUAGUACUUAUAAUAUACAAAUGAACUAUACUAUUAGAUAUAAAUUAAAUGUUAUAUUUUUAUGAAGAUAAAUGCCUAGUAAUAAAAGCAAAUUUUAAGUUUAUUGAUUUAUAGAAUUUCUCUUUUGGAAGGGAACCUUCAAUAUCAGCCAUUUUCAUUCAAAUUAUAAUAUUUUUUCACUUUUAAGCAAUCUCUGGUGUUAUUAAGAUUUCUUCACUAAACUUACACAUUAAUAGAAUUAUCUUAAAAUACAUUAUUAAUUACUUAAAUACAUUAAUAUAACACAUCGGAAAACAAGUCUUACUACCUGCUAUUGAUUAUAGUUAUCAGAAGUAUUAAGAUGUUGUCACAAAUUUGAAACAAAUAAUUGUUUUGUCUCUGAAGUGAUUUUUCAGGAAUAAUGAAUAAUGGAAAUCUAUAAGAGAUGUUUGGAUAACAUCUGCCUCAUGGACAAUUCAUAGAAAUAUAGUUAUUUAUCUCUAGUUGUAGGCUUAAUUUUGAAGUUAUCAUUUUUAUGGCAAUUGUGAUAAUACAAAUGACCACAAACCAAAUAAUAAAAUAAUUGAAAUUCCUAUACUUUGAGAAAAUGGAUAGCUUCUGUUAAUGUACCAAACAUAAUUUUUCUAUACUAAUUUAUUAGAAACAUUUCAAAAAUAUUUCUUUCAAUUUGGGGAGAGGUAAAAUAAUGAAAAAAAUCAAAAUUUCUGAAAAUUAAAGUAUUUGCAUUUAAUUUGUUCAUUUUCUGCCUCAUCACCAAUGUAGUUCUUUAAUUGGAUAGAAAAAAAGUAGAUUCAGAAUCUACAUUUGUUGACCACUAAUAACAGAGUAGGGCAGUGAAGCAUCAUUAGCCCAAUGAAACUUACAGGAUUUCAGUGGUGGGGAAAUCAGGACUCUUUCUGAAUUUUGUUAGGGAAAUGUGUUCUCAUUUUAUGUGGAGCUGUCUACUUUUGGUAUUUUUAUUUUAAUAUAUAUUUUAAAGUUUCAGCAGAACUCAGCACUAGGAGUGUCUACCUUAUUUUUUGGGGAAAAAUCUGACUAAUUUUUAAGAAUGGGGCAUCAAUAUUGUUUCAUUUUCUCAGUUUUGAAUAUAGUGUGUCAUUCUGUGAAAACCACCUUGCCAGUGUGCUUUUUGUUUAGUUUGCUUUUUAAGUGCAAACUUGAAAGUUUUACUUAUAAAAAGUGACCUUUAUGUUUUUCCAUAUGAUUGACAGAGCUUUUACCCAGUUAUCUUCAUUGUAUGACAAUAAAUCUAUUCAAUAAAGAUUAACAAAUGCAUUAAAAGUGCAAAUAAUCACUAUGGUAUGCUUGCUGGUUUUAUUUAUGAUGAUGUAUUGAUCAUCUCUGUCAGGUACUGUGAUAGAUAUGUCUAUUGGAAAAUAUAAUUUCAUUUCCCAAAAAGGCAAGCAAGUUAAAACCCUUCUGCAAUUAUGAAGUCAUCCUCUGAUAACUUACUGAUUCAUUUCUUGGUGUCAAAAUCAAGAACCAAUUAUCUGUUUGACUUGGAGAUAUUAGGUCCCUGUGGUACUAUGAAGAAAAUUAUUUAGUGCCUUUCAGCUAGUGAAAUGAUGAUUGGUGGGUCUGUUUGUUGAACAAAAAGGGGGAGGGGAAGAGCACACAUUAGCUAUAAGGCUGUAGCUAUCUCAUUGGAGGUAGUCAUUUCAGUCUUUGGAAUUAAUUCUAGAAUUUAAUGAUAACUUUAAGUUUGUGUAAAAAGUGGUUAGUAAAAAAUUUAUUUACCUCAUUAUAUAAACAUAAGACUAUGUUUUAAAACCUUCUUUCCCAGCCAAGAUACUAAUUUUAAUACAAAAUGGGAAAAUAUUCAAUACAGUGUCUCCUUUUGGAGGCUUCCUACAAGUGAAAGCAGAUUUGUGGGGGAUGAUUGAGUUUUGAGCAACUUCCUUGCUUCCAAGACAAAACCCACAUUGCCUUCGUCUGUCCCUAAAGUGCCAGACCCAAGCUACUUUUAAGAAGCUACUGUACUCCACCUGCCUUGGAUGAAGCAAGCAGCCCCUUUGCUACCAGAAUUCCCCAGAAACAGCAUGGGCAUUUUCCAUGGUAGAGACAGCCCUUGUGAAUUCUGCAACUGCAGGAGCUCUGGAGCUCUACUUGCUUGCUCUGUACAAUAUAGAGAAAUUCUCACGGCCUCAUAUGGCCGUGAGAACCAGUAGCAUCUCAUACAGAAUUCCAGAGUACCAGAACUAAAGAGGCCUCUUCUGAAACUCUUGGCACAUGGUGCUGGAAGGCAGGACAGUGCAUCAUUUUUGCAUGCCUUGUAGGCACAAAGGAAAGUUCUCUCCACUAUCUGAAGCUCUAGGAUUGCUGCUGCUUGUGUUAUAAACCCUGGAAUAACACUCAUCUGUGGGAGUGAUACAAUCCUAUCUUUGUAUGCUUCAGGCUGGAAUUCAACCCUGGAAUAAUUGGCAGUCAACCUGAGAGACCUGGAUAAGGACCCCACUGUAUCCCGUAUCUCCAGGGCUGUCACUCUGUGUACUGUAUUUCAGAGAGUCAUGUAAAUACACCUAGACCCUAGGGAAUGGAGCCUAUAAGCAUUCCAGUGCUCCAGACCCAGACCUGCUGAUACACAACCCUCAGCAUAAACUGUAUUCACCCUGUAGGACUCAGGGAAUGUCUCCUUAACAUUUCCCAGCUUGGGACUUGAACUCAUGAUGCUAAAUUUCUGGGUAUUAGUCAGGCUAACAUAUCAGGAUCUGGGGAAUGUCUUAU
Non-coding RNA from Oryctolagus cuniculus (rabbit), 7547 nucleotides. The record is from RefSeq and is a predicted model, not a curated record. Lineage: Eukaryota; Metazoa; Chordata; Mammalia; Lagomorpha; Leporidae.